This 580-nucleotide ribosomal RNA is filed under the name uncultured bacterium. RNAcentral describes it as "partial 16S ribosomal RNA". It matches the Rfam family "Bacterial small subunit ribosomal RNA", at positions 355 to 926 of the family's 1533-position model. The record is from RNAcentral.
UGGGGAAUAUUGCACAAUGGGCGCAAGCCUGAUGCAGCCAUGCCGCGUGUGUGAAGAAGGCCUUCGGGUUGUAAAGCACUUUCAGCGAGGAGGAAGGUGGUGAGCUUAAUACGCUCAUCAAUUGACGUUACUCGCAGAAGAAGCACCGGCUAACUCCGUGCCAGCAGCCGCGGUAAUACGGAGGGUGCAAGCGUUAAUCGGAAUUACUGGGCGUAAAGCGCACGCAGGCGGUUUGUUAAGUCAGAUGUGAAAUCCCCGGGCUCAACCUGGGAACUGCAUUUGAAACUGGCAAGCUAGAGUCUCGUAGAGGGGGGUAGAAUUCCAGGUGUAGCGGUGAAAUGCGUAGAGAUCUGGAGGAAUACCGGUGGCGAAGGCGGCCCCCUGGACGAAGACUGACGCUCAGGUGCGAAAGCGUGGGGCAGCAAACAGGAUUAGAUACCCUGGUAGUCCACGCUGUAAACGAUGUCGAUUUUGGAGGUUGUGCCCUUGAGGCGUGGCUUCCGGAGCUAACGCGUUAAUCGACCGCCUGGGGAGUACGGCCGCAAGGUUAAAACUCAAAUGAAUUGACGGGGUCAAGCUG